This 464-nucleotide ribosomal RNA is filed under the name uncultured Desulfobulbus sp. Its description in RNAcentral is "bacterial SSU rRNA". It matches the Rfam family "Bacterial small subunit ribosomal RNA", at positions 924 to 1382 of the family's 1533-position model. Lineage: Bacteria; Pseudomonadati; Thermodesulfobacteriota; Desulfobulbia; Desulfobulbales; Desulfobulbaceae. The record is from RNAcentral.
CACAAGCGGUGGAGUAUGUGGUUUAAUUUCGAUGUAACGCGAAGAACCUUACCUGGUCUUGACAUCCCGGAGACCCUUAGGAAACUAGGGGUGCUUCCAUCUGGAAGAAUCUGGAGACAGGUGCUGCAUGGCUGUCGUCAGCUCGUGUCGUGAGAUGUUGGGUUAAGUCCCGCAACGAGCGCAACCCUUGCCUUUAGUUGCCAGCAGUUCGGCUGGGCACUCUAAAGGGACUGCCGGUGUUAAACCGGAGGAAGGUGGGGAUGACGUCAAGUCCUCAUGGCCUUUAUGACCAGGGCUACACACGUACUACAAUGGCCGAUACAAAGGGCAGCGACACUGCGAGGUGAAGCCAAUCCCGUAAAAUCGGUCUCAGUCCGGAUUGGAGUCUGCAACUCGACUCCAUGAAGUCGGAAUCGCUAGUAAUCGUGAAUCAGAAUGUCACGGUGAAUACGUUCCCGGGCCUU